UACGAACUGCGCGAACGUUAUUCGGAUUUACUGGGCUUAAAGGGUGCGUAGGCGGCUUGUUAAGUAGGGUGUGAAAUCUUGUGGCUCAACCAUAAGAGUGCAUUCUAAACUGGCAGGCUUGAGUGAGUCAGGGGUGUGCGGAACUGCCAGUGGAGCGGUGAAAUGUGUUGAUAUUGGCAGGAACGCCGGUGGCGAAAGCGGCACACUGGGGCUUAACUGACGCUGAGGCACGAAAGCCAGGGGAGCAAACGGG
Molecule: ribosomal RNA, 253 nt
Filed under: uncultured bacterium
Lineage: Bacteria
Description: partial 16S ribosomal RNA
Rfam family: Bacterial small subunit ribosomal RNA
Source: RNAcentral